GACGAACGCUGGCGGCGUGCCUAAUACAUGCAAGUUGAGCGCUGAAGGUUGGUACUUGUACCAACUGGAUGAGCAGCGAACGGGUGAGUAACGCGUGGGGAAUCUGCCUUUGAGCGGGGGACAACAUUUGGAAACGAAUGCUAAUACCGCAUAAAAACUUUAAACACAAGUUUUAAGUUUGAAAGAUGCAAUUGCAUCACUCAAAGAUGAUCCCGCGUUGUAUUAGCUAGUUGGUGAGGUAAAGGCUCACCAAGGCGAUGAUACAUAGCCGACCUGAGAGGGUGAUCGGCCACAUUGGGACUGAGACACGGCCCAAACUCCUACGGGAGGCAGCAGUAGGGAAUCUUCGGCAAUGGACGAAAGUCUGACCGAGCAACGCCGCGUGAGUGAAGAAGGUUGUCGGAUCGUAAAACUCUGUUGGUAGAGAAGAACGCUGGUGAGAGUGGAAAGCUCAUCAAGUGACGGUAACUACCCAGAAAGGGACGGCUAACUACGUG
RNAcentral lists this ribosomal RNA (497 nucleotides) under uncultured bacterium. RNAcentral's name for it is "partial 16S ribosomal RNA". It matches the Rfam family "Bacterial small subunit ribosomal RNA", at positions 28 to 507 of the family's 1533-position model. The record is from RNAcentral.